AUACGGAGGAUGCGAGCGUUAUCCGGAUUUAUUGGGUUUAAAGGGGGCGUAGGUGGGAUAUUAAGUCAGCUGUGAAAGUUUGGGGCUCAACCUUAAAAUUGCAGUUGAUACUGGUUUCCUUGAGUACGGUAUAGGUGGGCGGAAUUCGUGGUGUAGCGGUGAAAUGCUUAGAUAUCACGAAGAACUCCGAUCGCGAAGGCAGCUCACCGGGCCGGAACUGACACUGAUGCUCGAAAGUGCGGGUAUCAAACAGGAUUAGAUACCCUGGUAGUCCGCACAGUAGACGAUGAAUACUCGCUGUUUGCGAUACACUGUAAGCGGCCAAGCGAAAGCGUUAAGUAUUCCACCUGGGGAGUACGCCGGCAACGGUGAAACUCAAAUGAAUUGGCGGGG
Molecule: ribosomal RNA, 393 nt
Filed under: uncultured bacterium
Lineage: Bacteria
Description: partial 16S ribosomal RNA
Rfam family: Bacterial small subunit ribosomal RNA
Source: RNAcentral